Cynara cardunculus var. scolymus (artichoke) is the source of this 385-nucleotide long non-coding RNA. RefSeq lists it as uncharacterized. The transcript has 2 exons. The record is from RefSeq and is a predicted model, not a curated record. NCBI's taxonomy places the organism in Eukaryota, Viridiplantae, Streptophyta, Magnoliopsida, Asterales, Asteraceae.
AGAGAGUAAUUGGGAUGCAUGGUAUAGUAAUGGUCAAACCGCAGGAUACAAAACCACAUACGCUCGUGAUAAUUAUUCUUUAGUAUUUGCUACUGUAAAGGGAGCGGGUCAUACAGCUCCAGAGUUCAAACCAGAAGAAUGUUUUCAGAUGGUUAAGAGGUGGUUUGCUAAUAAACCUAUCUAAACCAACAAUUUAGUGUUCUCUAAAUGAGAUAUUCAAGAUUCAUUCUAGGGUUUGUUUGGGCUUUAGAUUAGCUUAUUUUAUUGCACGAUUCGUUGGUCAUYCAAUAGUGAAGGUGAUCUUGUAGUAUUUAUUUUGUUUCGGUGUUAUAAUUUGUUACAGAUGCAUUAAUAAUAUUUGAUUGAUUUCAAUAAAUUGAGAAAU